This 795-nucleotide ribosomal RNA is filed under the name Edaphobacter sp. URHE0015. RNAcentral's name for it is "bacterial SSU rRNA". It matches the Rfam family "Bacterial small subunit ribosomal RNA", at positions 56 to 883 of the family's 1533-position model. Lineage: Bacteria; Pseudomonadati; Acidobacteriota; Terriglobia; Terriglobales; Acidobacteriaceae. The record is from RNAcentral.
UGCAGUCGCACGAGAAAGGGGCUUCGGCCCUGAGUACAGUGGCGCACGGGUGAGUAACACGUGAAUUAUCUACCUUCGAGUGGGGAAUAACUGGGAGAAAUCUCAGCUAAUACCGCAUAAAACCUACGGGUCAAAGCAGCAAUGCGCUUGAAGAGGAGUUCGCGGCAGAUUAGUUAGUUGGCGGGGUAAUGGCCCACCAAGACGAUGAUCUGUAUCCGGCCUGAGAGGGCGCACGGACACACUGGAACUGAAACACGGUCCAGACUCCUACGGGAGGCAGCAGUGGGGAAUUUUGCGCAAUGGGGGAAACCCUGACGCAGCAACGCCGCGUGGAGGAUGAAAUCCCUUGGGAUGUAAACUCCUUUCGAUCGGGACGAUUAUGACGGUACCGGAAGAAGAAGCCCCGGCUAACUUCGUGCCANCAGCCGCGGUAAUACGAGGGGGGCAAGCGUUGUUCGGAAUUAUUGGGCGUAAAGGGCGCGUAGGCGGUUUGACAAGUCUGAUGUGAAAUCUAUGGGCUCAACCCAUAGCCUGCAUUANAAACUGUCGGGCUUGAGUAUGGGAGAGGUGAGUGGAAUUUCCGGUGUANCGGUGAAAUGCGUAGAUAUCGGAAGGAACACCUGUGGCGAAAGCGGCUCACUGGACCAUAACUGACGCUGAGGCGCGAAAGCUAGGGGAGCAAACAGGAUUAGAUACCCUGGUAGUCCUAGCCCUAAACGAUGAUUGCUUGNUGUAGCNNNUACCCAAUCCUGCUGUGCCGAANCUAACGCGAUAANCAAUCCGCCUGGGGAGUAC